Molecule: ribosomal RNA, 465 nt
Filed under: Vreelandella stevensii
Lineage: Bacteria; Pseudomonadati; Pseudomonadota; Gammaproteobacteria; Oceanospirillales; Halomonadaceae
Description: partial 16S ribosomal RNA
Rfam family: Bacterial small subunit ribosomal RNA
Source: RNAcentral
CCUACGGGCGGCAGCAGUGGGGAAUAUUGGACAAUGGGCGAAAGCCUGAUCCAGCCAUGCCGCGUGUGUGAAGAAGGCCUUCGGGUUGUAAAGCACUUUCAGUGGGGAAGAAAGCCUUGGGGCUAAUACCCUCGAGGAAGGACAUCACCCACAGAAGAAGCACCGGCUAACUCCGUGCCAGCAGCCGCGGUAAUACGGAGGGUGCGAGCGUUAAUCGGAAUUACUGGGCGUAAAGCGCGCGUAGGCGGUCUGAUAAGCCGGUUGUGAAAGCCCCGGGCUCAACCUGGGAACGGCAUCCGGAACUGUCAGGCUAGAGUGAAGGAGAGGAAGGUAGAAUUCCCGGUGUAGCGGUGAAAUGCGUAGAGAUCGGGAGGAAUACCAGUGGCGAAGGCGGCCUUCUGGACUGACACUGACGCUGAGGUGCGAAAGCGUGGGUAGCAAACAGGAUUAGAUACCCCGGUAGUC